UACGUAGGGUGCAAGCGUUGUCCGGAAUUAUUGGGCGUAAAGAGCUCGUAGGCGGUCUGUCACGUCUGAUGUGAAAUCCCCGGGCUCAACCUGGGAAUUGCAUUCGAUACUGGAUAGCUAGAGUUCGGCAGAGGGAAGCGGAAUUUCUGGUGUAGCGGUGAAAUGCGUAGAUAUCAGAAGGAACAUCAGUGGCGAAAGCGGCUUCCUGGACCAGUACCGACGUUCAGGCACGAAAGCGUGGGGAGCAAACAGG
Molecule: ribosomal RNA, 253 nt
Filed under: uncultured bacterium
Lineage: Bacteria
Description: partial 16S ribosomal RNA
Rfam family: Bacterial small subunit ribosomal RNA
Source: RNAcentral